UUACAGGGAACUUGACUCACUUCGCCAAAAGGAACUUGACCCAUCCUUGUGUACGACCAAGUGUGAAAACACAUUAUAGUUCACAGGUAGCUUUCCAACUCUUCCCUUUUUUUCGUGCGCAAGACUGUUGCUCUCCCUCGCCCUCGCUCUCUGCUCCGGCCAAGCCACUGUACCAUCUCUGCGUUUCCAUUCUCUGUCUUCUUCAAGCUUUAGUAUUUCCAAACAAAAAAGAAUGGCCUUGCAGACAGAAACUCCUCCAACAGCUCAUAGUGCCCAAUUUGUUGGAAAUGCUUUCGUUGAUCAGUAUUAUAAAAUUCUCCACAACUCUCCAGAAUUGGUCUAUAGGUUUUAUCAAGAUUCAAGUGUGAUCAGCCGUCCUGAUUCUAAUGGUGUGAUGACAUCUGCAACUACCAUGCAAGGUAUCAAUGAAAAGAUCCUUUCCUUUGAUUAUAAGGACUACAUGGUUGACAUAAAGACUGCAGAUGCACAGAAGUCAUACAAAGAAGGGGUGACUGUGCUAGUAACUGGAUGUUUAACGAGCAAGGAUAACUUGAAAAGGAAAUUUGCACAAUCAUUUUUUCUUGCCCCUCAGGACAAUGGGUAUUACGUCUUAAAUGAUGUGUUUAGGUAUGUAGAAGAUGUAGAGCAGUUGGAAAGUGGUGCGGUUAAUGGAGUUGAUGCUGCUGCAGCACCCUCCUUGAUAUCAGAACCUGAGCCAAAUCAUGUUCCUGAUCCUGCUGCACUAGACCCAGCAACUGCUCAUGAGGAUGCAGAUCAAAUUGUUGUUGAGAAGGCCUAUGAUGCAUCAGAGUAUGAGAGCGAAUUAGUCAAUGAAAAAAAGCCUGUUGCAGAAAUCCCAUCUCAUUCUCAAUGGAAUGAUGUCACUGUGGACAUCGAAUCAUCUUCUGCUGCAGCCCUAGAAGAUGCUCCAAAAAAGUCAUAUGCCUCAAUUGUAAAAGUACCAAAAGGGAGUUUAGGACCAACACAAGUUUAUGUGCCAACUAAUUUCUUAAAUGUGUCUUCUAAGAAAGUAGAGAAUCAGCCUGCUGAAUCAGCAGCACCUGCAUCAGUGCCUGAAGCAUCAGCACCAAGUAGCACCGGCACCCCAGACAGUAGCAAUACUAAUGAGGAAGUUGAGGGGCACUCUAUUUACAUACGGAAUUUGCCCUUUAGUGUGACGGAUGCUCAGCUUGAGGCAGAAUUUAAGAAAUUUGGACCAAUAAAGCGAGGAGGUAUCCAAGUCAGAAAUAAUAAGCAGCAAGGAUACUGUUUUGGUUUUGUAGAAUUUCAAUCUUUGAGCUCCAUGAAUAGUGCCAUACAGGCUUCACCUAUCACUAUUGGGGGCCGGCAAGCUGUCAUUGAGAUAAAGAGAACUACCACUAGAGUUGGUGGUGGUGGUGGUGGAAGAGGUAGGUAUCCUUCAGGAAGAGGAGGAUUCCGGAGUGACAGCUUUAGGGUACGUGGGAAUUACAGUGGUGGCCGUAGCUUCGGAAGAAAUGAGUAUGGAAACAGGGGAGAAUUCUCUGGUCGUGGUAGGGGUCCAUCUGGGCGUGGUGGAGAUGGGUAUCAACAAGGGAGAGGUAGAGGAGGCCGUCCAAGUGGCCCAAAGCACAAUGCCAUCUCAGCAUGAAAUGGCAAUCAAGCAGCCAGUGAGAGAUCAAGAAGUGCAGUGCAAGCAAGUAAACAAGUACCUUUCUAGAAUGUUCAUCUUUAAAAAUGCCCUUACUAGUUCACUCAAAUUACGAACAUACCAUUUUCGACACGUGUCUACUCAAAUAGAGCGAGUAGAGAGCUUCCUUUUUUUUAAUAAUUUCUGGCAUCACAAGGAUAAUCUUUGUAAUGUGGACAAGUCUUUUGAAAAGGGAUAACAACAGAAAAGAGCUCGACUCGAAUCCCGAUGCUUUGUUGCCACGUGUUGAGAGGUGGUCUUAUAUCAGAAGCAGUUCUGGAAUCCAAGAAUUAUAAGAGAGAGAGAGAGAGAGAGAUAGAAAGAGAGAGUCGCGGUUUUACGAGGCUGAGAUUUAUGCAACAAGUGGCAGUUAGAAAGGAGUUGGGAAAGGCCACGUGUAUUUUCAGAACCUAAUCCAAUGACUGGGCUUCCCUUUUUUUUUUUUUUUUUUUGGGGCAAAAAUCCAAAAAGCUGACGACGUUUGUUUUUUGGUGUGUGUCUUGAGAUCUGUUUUUCUUCUCCACGUGUUCGUACGGAACGUCUACAUGAACUCCACUUGUCGGUUCCUGAGCUCCCGUUUCUGAAUCACGAGGGUAUUUUGGUUUGCGAGAAAGUUUUUACAGACAAACUGCGAGAAAAUGUAGGAUUUUUGGUGCAGUGUUUGGUGGGAAAGAAAAAGAAAGAAAAUAUUGAAAUUGUUUUUUCGAUGGAAAACAUGGAACUCAUAAGUGCUCAUCUA
Molecule: RNA transcript, 2408 nt
Organism: Ziziphus jujuba (common jujube)
Lineage: Eukaryota; Viridiplantae; Streptophyta; Magnoliopsida; Rosales; Rhamnaceae
Gene name: nuclear transport factor 2
Exons: 11
Source: RefSeq, a predicted model, not a curated record